RNAcentral lists this ribosomal RNA (320 nucleotides) under uncultured eukaryote. Its description in RNAcentral is "partial 18S ribosomal RNA". It matches the Rfam family "Eukaryotic small subunit ribosomal RNA", at positions 1470 to 1796 of the family's 1831-position model. The record is from RNAcentral.
CCCUUAGAUGUUCUGGGCCGCACGCGCGCUACACUGAUGCAUUCAACGAGUUACCUUGGCCGAGAGGCCUGGGCAAUCUUUUGAACGUGCAUCGUGAUAGGGAUAGAUUAUUGCAAUUAUUAAUCUUGAACGAGGAAUUCCUAGUAAACGCAGUUCAUCAAACUGCAUUGAUUACGUCCCUGCCCUUUGUACACACCGCCCGUCGCUCCUACCGAUUGGAUGGUCCGGUGAAGCCUCGGGAUUGUGGCCAGUGCCUUUUUGGUUUUGGUUGCGAGAACUUGUCUAAACCUUAUCAUCUAGAGGAAGGUGAAGUCGUAACA